Molecule: long non-coding RNA, 3675 nt
Filed under: Homo sapiens (human)
Lineage: Eukaryota; Metazoa; Chordata; Mammalia; Primates; Hominidae
Description: non-protein coding LINC01128:94
Source: RNAcentral
CUGGAAAGAAGGAAGGGUGAUCCUGCUAAGACAGGGCGUUGUGAAGAUUUCCUUUCCCUCCGAACUAACAUCUCACUCACUUCUCUCAGUUUCCAUCAUUAUCUUCUAUGGAGUUCUUCAUUCCCACAUCUGUGGACCUUAAAAUCCUACCGUUGAGUGCCUGCCUUGGAUCAGCAGUCAGUUCGUUACCUUGGUUCUCAGACGAUGCUUGCAACAACGCCAUGCGAUUCGCCCACUCUUGGGUUACAUUAGUUAUACACUCUGGAGGUGACUUGACCUGUCAUUGUGAACAAUUAUUGCUCUUGGACGACCCAGGACAUAGGCCAGCCAGUACGUACCCCAGUGUGUUGGAGAAUCGCGCUCGGCUUCUUCCUCUGUGCUGAGUCAUGAAAGUUGCCGGAGCAGGUGCAGUUACACAACCUCCAGACAUCUAGGCUUGCUGUCAAGGCUUCUGAUCAACAUGAGAUGACCGCCGUGUGGUAAACUGAUGAACCCUGACCCUGAUCAACAUGAGAUGACCGCCGUGUGGUAAACUGAUGAACCCCGACCCUGAUGAACGUGAGAUGACCGCCGUGUGGUAAACUGAUGAACCCCGACCCUGAUGAACGUGAGAUGACCGCCGUGUGGUAAACUGAUGAACCCCGACCCUGAUGAACGUGAGAUGACCGCCGUGUGGUAAACUGAUGAACCCCGACCCUGAUGAACGUGAGAUGACCGCCGUGUGGUAAACUGAUGAACCCCGACCCUGAUCAACGUGAGAUGACCGCCGUGUGGUAAACUGAUGAACCCCGACCCUGAUGAACAUGAGAUGACCGCCGUGUGGUAAACUGAUGAACCCCGACCCUGAUCAACAUGAGAUGACCGCCGUGUGGUAAACUGAUGAACCCCGACCCUGAUCAACAUGAGAUGACUGCCGUGUGGUAAACUGAUGAACCCUGACCCAUUAGGCUUUGGCUACAGAAUGUGGAAAUAAGUUGUGUUACUACAUGUGUGUAAUCCUAGGGUGCAGGACACCGGCCGGGAGGUUCCAUAGAGUGAUGGGUUCUGCAGGUAACUCAUCCUCUAGUCCUCUGUAAGCUCCUAGAAGGAAGAAAUUAUGUCCUUUAGACUAAUAAAAUUCCUCCAAACCAAAUACAGCACCUACUGUGAAGACACAAAGAUACUUUUAGAAUAGUAAAAACUUUAUCCAUUGAGAAAUUCCUUAAUGAAACAGUAUCCAAGAAGUCAUUUGCCAGCAGAUUUCUUAGAGGUGCGAUAAAGAAGAGGACAUUGCCAGUCGUCACAGCAGCUGCAAUAGCUCCUCUCUAUUGUUAAACAGUGGGAUAUCUUGUGCAGGUUUUCAGUUGACAAUCAAUUUUAAAGAUUAGUUUCGGUCCCCAUCAAUCAAUUAUUUAUUAACCCAUCAAUAAAAAUUUAAAUGCUCUGUGAGGUACAAUAGCUAUUAAAAGAGACAGAGGCACUUUCUGUGUCCAGAGGGGCUUUUAGUCUGCUCUGGAAAGCAAGAUGCGUGCAGAUGAGUGACGCAGUGCAUCGUGUGGAUGCAAAGGGAGGGACUCACAUGGGAACCAGAGGAGCUACGAAGGGAGGCAGUGGGGACUGGUGGGUCGAGACCUGGAAAUAACACAUGAAUAGGCAACAAAGGUUUCCUUUCCUCUUCCAUGCACUUCAGUCCUUGAAAAACGUCUUACCACGGAAUUCCACAGCGUACCAAGCGAUUCCACAGCUUGAUGGCACACUCUCCUUUCUCAGCAUUCUUGAAAAUGGCGUGUGAGCCAAGCCAUCUUACUGAGAAAUUACCUUAAACCAUUUGAUGAACCAAAAAUAUUUUGUAAUACCCAUCUCCGACAUUAGGUAGGCAAAUCACACAGAAACACCGAGGUCUUCUGAGUCAUAUUUAUCUGAAAAAUCACAGCUUGGGUGCAUGUGAAGCCAGAGGAGCACUCCUGGGGCCUGCGGUGCCAUCACUCAGCUCCCCUGGGCUUCACAUGGCCAUGGAGCACCCAGCAAGUGUAGGCUCUGAGCCUUCAGGGAGGGGCGGCAUCAGCCAGCACCAUCGUCUCCUGGGUCUUGUGCCUCUUCCUUGGUUGCGGUGUUGUCAGGGCCAGAAUUGGGCAAUUCCGGGUGACAUCCAGGUGUGGCUGCUGACACGGAGCACAGCCACCUCAGGGAUGCAGGGUCCCCCACCUGGUCAAGUGCCCAGUGCUGUGUUGUCAUUUGCAAGUUCUUCCUGUGACUGAACUCCAAAUGGCACUGGGACUGCUGACUCCACCCACUGGACAACCCGUGUUCUUGCUUUUGGGGUUUCUGAAACAGCCCCAAGACUCUGGGCAUCUUGAUUUUGCUCCCAUUGCUUCUCAGGACACCCUGCUCCUGUGGUUUGCAGCCCCGGCCUUCUCUUCGAGGACGCCUCUGCUCUUCUGCCUCACACUCGGAUUGGACCUUCUUCAGCACAGCCAGUGGCCGAGGCUUCCUCCCUGGGGCUCAGUGGAGCAGGACAGAUGCUGCAUCCAAACUCUUCCAUUGGGUUCCAGUCUGUUCCAGUCAUGCCCUUGAGCCUCUAAAGCUCCUAGGUGAGAGACGUAGCAGCUGACAGCACUUCCCACUUGAUUUGGGUGGACUCCAGCCUCCCCAGCAACAAUAAGAGAUCAAAAGCAUCGUUGAGGAAGCAGCUUGCUGAAACGCUGAGUGCCCGCCACUCUCAGGUCAGGUGGGACCGGCAGGCCAGCAUGAGUUCCUGAACACUUGGUUCUCAAUACUGGCCACAGCCACACUGUAAGGGGAAACAAGAGGGCACUGUAUGCAAACAUCUCUUGAACUCUGGAGUCUGCUCACCUUCCUGCCUCAAGCCCCUCUCCCACGUGGUCCAGUCACCAUUCUCCACAGAGACUACCCUAAAACCCAGCGACUCUCGUGUGCCUGCAGAAUGGCACAGCCCGUUCUCAUAGCAGCACUCCUGUUUAAUCAGAGGGAUGUUAACGACCAAGUCAUAUUUGCUCGAUUUGUGUUCAACAUAUUUCAUUUGUACCGAUAAAACUUAAAAAUAUCCCCACACAUGCAUUGCCUAUUAAAGAGUAUCUUCCAGGUACACCUCCCUUACACAUCAGUUAACUUGAUAAUUUCUUCCCAUUCUUGUGCAAUAAAUUUCCUUCCUGAUCAGCUCUGUCCAGCAGCAACAAUAAUCCACGUAGAGACAUGCAAACUAAAAGUCCGUUAGUGGAGGCACGAAGCUGAUGAGGCUUGGAAAAAAAUGACCGAUUUGAUUAAAAUUAGGACCCAUGGGAGUGGAGCUCUGCCUAUUUUAGAGGCAAAGUAAAUGCCUGGGAGUCCAAUCACCGACAUUCUGUUUGAGGUUUCUAAUCACAAGGAAGAUGGAGAAAAUGCAGAACAAGUGGUCAAGAACAGGGAGAUAAUAAAUAGAAUAUUUAUGGGCUGAGGAAAACAAUUACCAGGGGAAAGCCCAAGAAGCAAAGAUGAACAGAGAACGUGCUGACUGCGCUCGUUUGGAAAGGCCUCAUGGCCAAAGGAGGAGAGGCAUUAUGAGGAGCAGUGACCGAGUGGGCAGGACCCCCGGGGAUCAGGAAAGGUGCACGGGGGGAAAUGAGAGGCCUGAGCGGCUUCCCAGCGAAGGUUUUUGAAGCACGGUUUGAUUUUCUCUCUCCCCCUCACCAUCCCCAA